AAAAUUUUAUUUUAAAUAAAAUAUAAUAUUUACAAUAUUAAGUUAUAUAAUUAUAUAAAUUUUU
RNAcentral lists this transfer RNA (64 nucleotides) under Virgulibracon endoxylaphagus. RNAcentral describes it as "tRNA-Val". The record is from RNAcentral. Lineage: Eukaryota; Metazoa; Arthropoda; Insecta; Hymenoptera; Braconidae.